AAAGUCGUAACAAGGUUUCCGUAGGUGAACCUGCGGAAGGAUCAUUACCAAAAAUCCUUUAUAUCAACCACUUGUGAAUGUGUCUUCGUCCUUGGGGGAGGCUGUUUAAAAAAAGAAAAGCUAACAGGUUCAAUCCUGUUAUGUUCUCCUUCUUUUACUCGCUCCCUCAACAGCAAUGCGCUUAAAACACGCAUUGUUGUUAAAACUUUUAACCACUUUUUAAACUUUCAGUUGAAAACAUAACCCUUUAUCUCGCUCUAACGAACGACUUAAAGAAAAACCAAAAGACAACUUUUAACGGUGGAUCUCUUGGCUCAU
RNAcentral lists this unclassified non-coding RNA (318 nucleotides) under Ascomycota sp. RNAcentral's name for it is "partial contains small subunit ribosomal RNA, internal transcribed spacer 1, and 5.8S ribosomal RNA". The stretch from base 1 to 47 matches the Rfam family "Eukaryotic small subunit ribosomal RNA", at positions 1785 to 1831 of the family's 1831-position model. The record is from RNAcentral. Lineage: Eukaryota; Fungi; Ascomycota.